ACGAACGCUGGCGGCUGCUUAACACAUGCAAGUCGAACGGAGUGGCGAACGGGUGAGUAACGCGUGAGCAACCUGCCUAUGACAGUGGGAUAGCCUCGGGAAUCCGGGAUUAAUUCCGCAUAGUCAUUGAUGGGGUCGCGUCUGAUUAGCUAGUUGGUGAGAUAACAGCCCACCAAGGCGACGAUCAGUAGCCGGUCUGAGAGGAUGAACGGCCACAUUGGAACGGAGACACAGUCCAAACUCCUACAGGAGGCAGCAGAGGGGAAUAUUGCACAAUGGGGGAAACCCUGAUGCAGCGACGCCGCGUGAACGAAGAAGGUAUUCGUAUCGUAAAGUUCUGUCCUAUGGGAAGCAGUACCAUAGAAGAAAGCACCGGCUAACUACGUGCCAGCAGCCGCGGUAAUUC
Molecule: ribosomal RNA, 406 nt
Filed under: uncultured bacterium
Lineage: Bacteria
Description: partial 16S ribosomal RNA
Rfam family: Bacterial small subunit ribosomal RNA
Source: RNAcentral